AUUGAACGCUGGCGGCAGGCCUAACACAUGCAAGUCGAGCGGAUGAAGGGAGCUUGCUCCUGGAUUCAGCGGCGGACGGGUGAGUAAUGCCUAGGAAUCUGCCUGGUAGUGGGGGAUAACGUCCGGAAACGGGCGCUAAUACCGCAUACGUCCUGAGGGAGAAAGUGGAGGAUCUUCGGACCUCACGCUAUCAGAUGAGCCUAGGUCGGAUUAGCUAGUUGGUGGGGUAAAGGCCUACCAAGGCGACGAUCCGUAACAGGUCUGAGAGGAUGAUCAGUCACACUGGAUCUGAGACACGGUCCACACUCCUACGGGAGGCAGCAGUGGGGAAUAUUGGACAAUGGGCGAAAGCCUGAUCCAGCCCUGCCGCGUGUGUGAAGAAGGUCUUCGGAUUGUAAAGCACUUUAAGUUGGGAGGAAGGGCAGUAAGUUAAUACCUUGCUGUUUUGACGUUACCAACAGAAUAAGCACCGGCUAACUUCGUG
This 484-nucleotide ribosomal RNA is filed under the name uncultured bacterium. RNAcentral's name for it is "partial 16S ribosomal RNA". It matches the Rfam family "Bacterial small subunit ribosomal RNA", at positions 30 to 507 of the family's 1533-position model. The record is from RNAcentral.